UCGAAACACGGUAGGAGUUGGGGAACCAGCUCCUUUGGCCUUUUAGGCUAGGUUCUAAAAGUCCUAGCUUUGCCGUCAUUCUGUUGUAGUCUUUAUGACGCCGGUUUGAGACGGGAAGCCUAGGGCCCCUCUUUCCCUAGGGAAUGAGGUCCUAAUGAGUCCACGAAACUCCGCCCUAGUUGGGUUUCCAGGAGUUUUUGCCUGGACGUUGCGAGUAAAACUCAUAGGGAGUUUGCCCUUUACGCUGAGCGUAAAAUGCUCUCGGAGUAUGAGUUUUUCAGAAAAUCCUAAGCAACUAGACCAGGUUUUCCACGAACUGGAAAAAUAUUCCUCUUUUUUACUUUAAGUCCCAAUUGGGCUGGAGUGAAAGUGGACUUAUUUUUCCGCACCUGUUCCGUAAGGGAAAAGGUGAACUAGGCGUAGCCAGGAGGAUGACCUGGUCAGGUGAGCAAGCAAUCCUGUCCUAGGCUUAAGACCAGCUUUGCCUCGUCAAAGUCCUGGAUUUUCCUUGUCUUAGCUCGUCCUCUUUUUAGUGGAACCCACCACUUUUUCUGGUGAGGAAAAGGUUGGGUGGAGUAACGAGCUUCCAAGUCUUUUUAAAGCUCCUUUUUUGUUCGAGGCUAGCUGUGUUGUCCCCAAAGGCUAUCCUGGGCCUCUGACCUUUCCAGUGAACUUGGCAAGAAUUGGCACACCUGUUUUCUAAAAACAUGGGUGUUAGAAAGCAUUAGUGCCUUGUACUGCCAAGGGUCCUACUGGCAGCAGUAUCUUGACUGUGCCAAAGUACCGUAGUUUCUUGUUGCUUUAUUGGCAACCAGGGAAGUAUACAUGAUGCCACUCCUUUACUGGAAAGGCCUCGUGAAACAAUGG
RNAcentral lists this ribosomal RNA (867 nucleotides) under Kudoa thalassomi. Its description in RNAcentral is "partial large subunit ribosomal RNA". The record is from RNAcentral. Lineage: Eukaryota; Metazoa; Cnidaria; Myxozoa; Multivalvulida; Kudoidae.